This 253-nucleotide ribosomal RNA is filed under the name uncultured bacterium. RNAcentral's name for it is "partial 16S ribosomal RNA". It matches the Rfam family "Bacterial small subunit ribosomal RNA", at positions 524 to 776 of the family's 1533-position model. The record is from RNAcentral.
UACGUAGGUGUCAAGCGUUGUCCGGAUUUAUUGGGCGUAAAGCGCCCGCAGGCGGCUUGCCAAGUUCGAUGUGAAAUCUCCCGGCUCAACUGGGAGGGUGCAUCGAAAACUGGCAGGCUCGAGAACGGUAGGGGUGAGUGGAACUCCAGGUGGAGCGGUGAAAUGCGUAGAUAUCUGGAGGAACACCGGUGGCGAAAGCGGCUCACUGGACCGUCACUGACGCUGAGGUGCGAAAGCUAGGGUAGCAAACGGG